RNAcentral lists this ribosomal RNA (492 nucleotides) under uncultured bacterium. RNAcentral's name for it is "partial 16S ribosomal RNA". It matches the Rfam family "Bacterial small subunit ribosomal RNA", at positions 29 to 507 of the family's 1533-position model. The record is from RNAcentral.
AGUGAACGCUGGCGGUAGGCCUAACACAUGCAAGUCGAACGGCAGCACAGUAAGAGCUUGCUCUUACGGGUGGCGAGUGGCGGACGGGUGAGGAAUACAUCGGAAUCUACUUUUUCGUGGGGGAUAACGUAGGGAAACUUACGCUAAUACCGCAUACGACCUACGGGUGAAAGCAGGGGAUCUUCGGACCUUGCGCGGUUGAAUGAGCCGAUGUCGGAUUAGCUAGUUGGCGGGGUAAAGGCCCACCAAGGCGACGAUCCGUAGCUGGUCUGAGAGGAUGAUCAGCCACACUGGAACUGAGCCACGGUCCAGACUCCUACGGGAGGCAGCAGUGGGGAAUAUUGGACAAUGGGCGCAAGCCUGAUCCAGCCAUACCGCGUGGGUGAAGAAGGCCUUCGGGUUGUAAAGCCCUUUUGUUGGGAAAGAAAAGCAGCAGGUUAAUACCCCGCUGUUCUGACGGUACCCAAAGAAUAAGCACCGGCUAACUUCGUG